RNAcentral lists this ribosomal RNA (259 nucleotides) under Porcellana sayana. RNAcentral describes it as "partial 18S ribosomal RNA". It matches the Rfam family "Eukaryotic small subunit ribosomal RNA", at positions 24 to 289 of the family's 1831-position model. The record is from RNAcentral. Lineage: Eukaryota; Metazoa; Arthropoda; Malacostraca; Decapoda; Porcellanidae.
UCAUAUGCUUGUCUCAAAGAUUAAGCCAUGCAUGUCUAAGUAUAAGCAACUAUACGGUGAAACUGCGAAUGGCUCAUUAAAUCAGUUAUCGUUUAUUUGAUAGUACCUUACUACAUGGAUAACCGUGGUAAUUCUAGAGCUAAUACAUGACCUAAAACCCCGCUUCGGAAGGGUGUAUUUAUAGAAUAAAAACCAUCGCCGUUCGGGGCUCCUUGGUGAAUCAUAAUAACUUAACGAAUCGCAUGGCCUUGCGCCGGCG